This 835-nucleotide ribosomal RNA is filed under the name uncultured bacterium. RNAcentral's name for it is "bacterial SSU rRNA". It matches the Rfam family "Bacterial small subunit ribosomal RNA", at positions 28 to 839 of the family's 1533-position model. The record is from RNAcentral.
GACGAACGCUGGCGGCGUGCUUAACACAUGCAAGUCGAGCGGUAAGGCCCUUUUGGGGGUACACGAGCGGCGAACGGGUGAGUAACACGUGGGUGACCUGCCUUCAGCUCUGGGAUAAGCUUGGGAAACUGGGUCUAAUACCGGAUGUGACUGUCUGCCGCAUGGUGGGUGGUGGAAAGUUCUCGGGCUUUGGUCUGGGUUCGGCUGGGGAUGGGCCUGCGGCCUAUUAGCUUGUUGGUGGGGUGAUGGCCUACCAAGGCGACGACGGGUAGCCGGCCUGAGAGGGCGACCGGCCACACUGGGACUGAGACACGGCCCAGACUCCUACGGGAGGCAGCAGUGGGGAAUAUUGCGCAAUGGGCGGAAGCCUGACGCAGCGACGCCGCGUGGGGGAUGACGGCCUUCGGGUUGUAAACCUCUUUCGCCAUCGACGAAGGUUCUGUGGUUGUGAGGCUGCAGGGUUGACGGUAGGUGGAGAAGAAGCACCGGCCAACUACGUGCCAGCAGCCGCGGUAAUACGUAGGGUGCGAGCGUUGUCCGGAAUUAUUGGGCGUAAAGAGCUCGUAGGCGGUGUGUCGCGUCGGCCGUGAAAACCUGCAGCUUAACUGUGGGCGUGCGGUCGAUACGGGCAUCACUGGAGUUCGGCAGGGGAGACUGGAAUUCCUGGUGUAGCGGUGAAAUGCGCAGAUAUCAGGAGGAACACCGGUGGCGAAGGCGGGUCUCUGGGCCGAUACUGACGCUGAGGAGCGAAAGCGUGGGGAGCGAACAGGAUUAGAUACCCUGGUAGUCCACGCCGUAAACGGUGGGCGCUAGGUGUGGGGGCCAUUCCACGGUC